GUAUUUAUAUGAAAGUGUCAUCUACCUCAUUAAUGAAACAAUACAAAAUAUCAGCACCUUUUCUUUAAAAGAAUUCUUAAUAUAAAUGGGAUGAAGAAUACACUGACAUUUUAUUGCAGUAAGAGCCAUGGAUGUUGCUGUGGAUUGCAAGAUUUUUAUUUGAUUUCUGUGAAAUCCCAAGAACUACUUCCUGAUUUUCUGUAUGUUACUUGAAUGGUCACAGGGCACAGAGUGUACUAUCAAAGAAAAAUAGACAACAGUGGUCAGCGUAAGAGAUUCACUUGUACUGCCAAGUGCCUCAAAAUCAUUGUAUGACCCUUUCAUGGGUAGUGAGAAUUUUAUUUCAAUAUCGAUGCUUUCAUUGUUGCCACUAUCUAGCAUGUGCAGUGUAACUUACAUCACUAAUUAACUUGGGAAAUAAUUCUACUGCCACAGUUUAAUCACAGCAAAUGGAAAACCUGACAGGGUAUUGAGAUGACUGGCAGUUGAUAAUUAUGGAAAACUCAUUAUAUUAUGGAAAACCCAUUUACACCAUAAUUGUCAGUUUGGUUGCACUCCCAUAGACCACUGGCAAUUGCUUGGUAAAAUUGUUCUUUCCACUGAGGUGACAGUAACUGUUAUGUUUGUCAUAGGUUGUGGACUGAAAUGCCCUGGAAUGUUCCUGGGUCCCACUGUAAUUCACUUCAAAAACAUUACAAUUCGUUGUUAGCACUUAAAAUUUUAUUCCUUAACAAAGACUGAGGUAUUAGUUGGUCAGAGGGGUAAUGUUUUCACUAUAUUUUACUAAACAUAAUCACAUUUGGCAAGAGACAUAAUUGGAGCAUAUACAGAAGUUGCAGCUUAUACCUGUUCUGUAGAUAGGGAAGAUCUCAGGCUUCCUGACAGUGAGGCAAGUUCUAAUAAUCAUUUUCUUCCAAGGAAGAAAAGAUUGGAUUAUUUGUAGCAAACCUGAGUACGACACUGGGUCUAUCUUCAAAGUACCAGUAUGCUAUGUAAGGAGAUCUUCAACGGACAAAGAACGGAUAAAUAACCAGAUUCUUGCAGCAGCAUUAAAUUACUGUAUGGGUUAAAAACUAGGAAUAGUUAAAUAUGCCUAAUGUCUUUCCUAUUUGUAAACUGUUGAGAAAAGGGAAGGCUAAGCUACUUCAGUUUUUGUUCACUGUGAAAGUAUUUUGUUUACUUCAAGUAAAAGUGCAAAUACUGCAAGAUGAAUGGUGAAGCAAGAAUCCAAACUGUUACUUUGUUCUCAAAGAAAAACAGUCUUGAAAAUAACUUCCAGUGGCUUUUCCUCUGGUUUUUCCUCAGUGCUAAAGGAUCUGUAGAGAUCUGCAGAAAGUGGUGCUUCACUGUUUCAGUAACUGGUCAGUUGGCUUUUCACAAACUGCAGUUGGGAGAGUGCAGACAGUCCAAGACUGUUUCUUUUCCUCAUGGCUUUUGAAAGUGUAGCUUUUGCACCUUUUCCUGACAUCUCUUUUUUCUGAUCCUGUUUAUAUUCCUUUACAUUCCAUCUUUCAGAAGAAAGAUGAUACCAAGACUCUAAGCUUGACCUAAACCAUAGGUCUGUUGAUAUGACUUAAAAUGGAUCAGUAAAAAACAAAUAAAUUUUGCUGUUCUCUCCAAAGCUAUAGGUAUUUCUGAUUGGUUUUGGGUGUCAUGCCCUCCCACCACAUCCCUAAGCCUCAGGAACAAACCAGGAAUUCAGCUGUCAGCAAAGCUGCUUUUGCCACCUGAGCCUGGUGUCCUGUUUUAUUUACUGCUUCCAGUCUUAAAGACAUAGUUCCUGUACUAAGGAAAGUUUGCAGCUGCUCACUGAUGUGUUAAUGACAAUGGACUUACAUCUGCUUUUUAUAAACCCUUGGCUUUUUAUGGACUUAAUAAAAAAGUAAAACAAAAA
Long non-coding RNA from Neopsephotus bourkii (Bourke's parrot), 1894 nucleotides. RefSeq lists it as uncharacterized. NCBI's taxonomy places the organism in Eukaryota, Metazoa, Chordata, Aves, Psittaciformes, Psittacidae. The transcript has 2 exons. The record is from RefSeq and is a predicted model, not a curated record.